RNAcentral lists this transfer RNA (73 nucleotides) under Phyllomedusa tetraploidea (hidden walking leaf frog). Its description in RNAcentral is "tRNA-Leu". It matches the Rfam family "tRNA". Rfam says of the family: Transfer RNA (tRNA) molecules are approximately 80 nucleotides in length. The record is from RNAcentral. Lineage: Eukaryota; Metazoa; Chordata; Amphibia; Anura; Hylidae.
GUUAACGUAGCAAAGCCUGGUUUUGCAAAAGACCUAAACCCUUUCCACAGAGGUUCAACUCUUUUCGUUAACU